CCAGACUCCUACGGGAGGCAGCAGUGGGGAAUAUUGGGCAAUGGAGGAAACUCUUACCCAGCAAUGCCGCGUGAAUGAAGAAGGUCUUCGGAUUGUAAAGUUCUUUAAUUGGGGACGAAAAAAAUGACGGUACCCAAGGAAUAAGCCCCGGCUAACUACGUGCCAGCAGCCGCGGUAAUACGUAGGGGGCAAGCGUUGUUCGGAAUGACUGGGCGUAAAGGGAGCGUAGACGGCUGCGCAAGUCUGAAGUGAAAGCCCGGGGCUCAACCCCGGGACUGCUUUGGAAACUGUGUAGCUAGAGUGCUGGAGAGGCAAGCGGAAUUCCUAGUGUAGCGGUGAAAUGCGUAGAUAUUAGGAAGAACACCAGUGGCGAAGGCGGCUUGCUGGACAGUAACUGACGUUGAGGCUCGAAAGCGUGGGGAGCAAACAGGAUUAGAUACCCUAGUAUC
This 449-nucleotide ribosomal RNA is filed under the name uncultured bacterium. RNAcentral describes it as "bacterial SSU rRNA". It matches the Rfam family "Bacterial small subunit ribosomal RNA", at positions 331 to 794 of the family's 1533-position model. The record is from RNAcentral.